GCCUCGGAGUCUCAGGCGGUUGCCCAGGUCCUCCCGGUAAAACCCUCGAGAUUGCUAGGGAGAGGAGCAAGGGAGGGGCCAGCGCGCAGAACUGCCGAUGCAACCCGGCGGCCGCGGGCGGGGCUUAGGCGGAGCUUCAGGAAACAGCUAGAGAGACUGCAGGAGUCUCCAGAGCGCGCGCGCCGGCCCUCCCCGGCCCGACCCACGCGGCGCGGCGUGGUGACGCCCGCGCGGCCUGAGGAAGGGGCGGGGCCGGGGCGGGCCUCUGCGCUCCUCCCGCCCUCUCUCUGUCCCUACUCUCCCUCCCCUUCCCUCCCCCACACUCGGCCCCGUCAGCUUGGGGGUACCUUCGUCGCGCAGCCUCGCGUCGGCCCGGCCCGGCCAGGCCAGCGGGCAGAUGCCCCGAGCUGCCGCCGCCGACUUGGCCGGUGGCGGUGUGGGAGGUGGGCGACCAGCCCGGGGCCGCUGAGUGUGACGGACGCAACUGGGGGCGCCGGGGGCCCGGGGCCGGCGUCGGUGGCUCCGCACGGACCAUGUAUUUUCUGAGCGGCUGGCCCAAGAGGCUGCUGUGCCCUCUGGGGAGCCCGGCCGAGGCGCCUUUCCACGUUCAGUCCGACCCGCAGAGGGCUUUCUUCGCCGUGCUGGCCGCGGCCCGCCUCAGCAUCUGGUACAGCCGACCUAGUGUGUUAAUUGUAACCUACAAGGAGCCUGCAAAAUCAUCUACUCAGUUUGGAUCCUACAAGCAAGCUGAAUGGAGGCCAGAUAGUACCAUGAUAGCUGUAUCAACGGCAAAUGGAUACAUCUUGUUUUUUCAUAUUACAUCUACAAGAGGGGACAAGUACCUUUAUGAACCAGUGUAUCCCAAAGGAAGUCCACAAAUGAAGGGGACACCCCAUUUUAAGGAAGAACAGUGUGCUCCAGCAUUAAAUUUAGAGAUGAGGAAAAUACUGGAUUUACAAGCACCCAUCAUGAGUUUGCAGUCUGUGUUGGAAGAUCUCCUGGUUGCUACUUCUGAUGGACUUCUUCAUCUUAUUCACUGGGAAGGAAUGACAAAUGGAAGGAAAGCCAUUAAUCUUUGCACAGUACCCUUUUCAGUAGACCUGCAGUCAUCUAGAGUAGGUUCAUUCCUGGGCUUCACAGACGUACACAUCAGAGACAUGGAAUACUGUGCCACACUUGAUGGGUUUGCUGUUGUAUUUAAUGAUGGUAAAGUUGGAUUUAUUACACCAGUGUCAAGUAGAUUUACUGCAGAGCAGCUUCAUGGAGUUUGGCCACAAGAUGUUGUUGACGGAACGUGUGUAGCAGUAAAUAACAAGUAUCGACUAAUGGCAUUUGGCUGUGUGAGUGGUUCUGUGCAGGUCUAUACAAUAGAUAACAGCACUGGAGCCAUGCUGUUAUCUCAUAAAUUAGAGCUAACAGCAAAACAGUAUCCUGACAUUUGGAAUAAAACAGGAGCUGUUAAAUUGAUGAGAUGGUCUCCUGACAAUAGUGUUGUAAUAGUGACCUGGGAAUAUGGAGGCCUUUCUUUAUGGAGUGUGUUUGGGGCACAGCUGAUUUGUACACUUGGAGGAGAUUUUGCUUAUAGGUCUGAUGGCACCAAAAAAGAUCCCCUUAAGAUCAACUCUAUGAGCUGGGGUGCAGAAGGCUAUCACCUGUGGGUAAUCAGCAGAUUUGGUUCUCAAAACACUGAAAUUGAGUCUGACCUCGGGAGUGUAGUUAAACAGCCCAGCAUCCUGUUAUUUCAGUUUAUUAAGAGUGUACUCACUGUAAACCCUUGUAUGAGUAACCAAGAGCAGGUGUUGCUUCAGGGUGAGGAUCGCUUGUACUUGAACUGUGGAGAGGCUUCACAAACCCAGAAUCCCAGGAGUUCUUCAACACGCUCUGAACAUAAGCCCAGUCGAGAAAAGAGCCCAUUUGCAGAUGGAGGUUUAGAGUCUCAGGGAUUAAGCACUUUACUUGGACAUCGGCAUUGGCAUGUUGUACAGAUUUCCAGCACCUAUCUAGAGAGCAAUUGGCCUAUACGGUUUUCAGCUAUUGAUAAGCUUGGACAGAAUAUUGCUGUGGUUGGCAAGUUUGGUUUUGCACAUUACUCUUUACUCACCAAAAAAUGGAAACUUUUUGGAAACAUUACCCAGGAGCAAAAUAUGAUCGUGACAGGUGGCUUAGCCUGGUGGAAUGAUUUUAUGGUCCUUGCGUGUUACAACAUAAAUGACCGUCAAGAAGAGCUUAGAGUAUAUUUGCGAACAUCAAAUCUGGACAAUGCCUUUGCUCAUGUCACCAAAGCACAAGCAGAAACAUUACUGCUUAGUGUCUUCCAGGACAUGGUAAUAGUAUUUAGAGCAGACUGUUCAAUAUGCCUUUACAGUAUUGAAAGAAAAUCUGAUGGUCCAAAUACUACUGCUGGUAUUCAAGUUCUUCAGGAGGUUUCCAUGUCACGCUACAUUCCUCACCCUUUCCUGGUGGUAUCUGUCACUCUGACAUCAGUGAGUACAGAGAAUGGAAUCACCUUGAAAAUGCCACAGCAGGCUCGUGGUGCAGAGAGCAUUAUGUUAAACCUGGCAGGACAGCUCAUCAUGAUGCAGAGGGACAGGUCAGGCCCACAGAUCCGGGAGAAGGACAGUAACCCUAAUAACCAAAGGAAACUUCUGCCAUUCUGUCCUCCUGUUGUACUAGCCCAGUCUGUUGAAAAUGUCUGGACAACGUGUCGAGCAAAUAAACAGAAACGUCACCUUCUGGAGGCCCUCUGGCUGAGCUGUGGUGGUUCAGGGAUGAAAGUUUGGCUCCCUCUCUUCCCUAGGGAUCACCGCAAGCCCCAUUCCUUCUUGUCCCAGCGGAUCAUGCUGCCUUUCCACAUCAACAUUUACCCGCUAGCUGUUCUGUUUGAAGAUGCUUUAGUCCUUGGUGCUGUCAAUGACACUUUGCUCUAUGAUUCUUUGUAUACUCGGAACAAUGCUAGAGAACAGCUGGAGGUGCUCUUCCCUUUCUGUGUUGUGGAGAGAACCUCUCAGAUCUACCUCCACCACAUUCUACGUCAACUUCUGGUCAGAAACCUUGGGGAGCAAGCCUUGCUCUUGGCCCAGUCCUGUGCCACAUUACCUUACUUCCCUCAUGUGCUGGAGCUCAUGCUCCAUGAAGUACUGGAAGAAGAAGCUACCUCACGGGAGCCCAUUCCCGACCCUCUGCUUCCCACUGUAGCAAAAUUUAUCACUGAGUUCCCCCUCUUCCUGCAGACAGUUGUCCAUUGUGCCAGGAAGACCGAAUAUGCCCUAUGGAAUUACCUUUUUGCAGCUGUUGGAAACCCUAAGGACUUGUUUGAGGAAUGUUUGAUGGCUCAGGAUUUGGACACAGCUGCCUCUUACCUUAUUAUCUUACAGAAUAUGGAAGUCCCUGCAGUAAGUAGGCAACAUGCUACCCUUCUAUUCAACACAGCACUAGAACAAGGCAAGUGGGACCUUUGUCGACACAUGAUUCGAUUUCUUAAAGCCAUUGGCUCUGGAGAAUCUGAGACACCUCCAUCCACACCCACAGCUCAGGAACCCAGUUCAAGUGGUGGAUUUGAGUUCUUCAGGAAUCGAAGCAUCAGUUUAUCCCAGUCAGCUGAAAAUGUUCCUCCCAGUAAAUUCAGUUUACAGAAAACACUAAGUAUGCCAUCUGGUCCCUCUGGAAAAAGAUGGAGCAAAGACAGUGACUGUGCUGAGAACAUGUAUAUUGACAUGAUGCUCUGGAGACAUGCUCGGCGCCUCUUAGAAGAUGUGAGGUUAAAGGACCUUGGCUGCUUUGCAGCCCAGCUGGGCUUUGAACUAAUUAGUUGGCUAUGCAAGGAACGUACCCGAGCUGCCCGGGUAGACAACUUUGUAAUAGCUCUGAAGAGACUCCACAAAGAUUUCCUGUGGCCACUUCCAAUCAUCCCAGCCUCUUCUAUCAGUUCUCCUUUCAAAAAUGGAAAAUACCGAACUGUGGGAGAGCAGCUGUUAAAGUCUCAAUCAGCUGACCCAUUUUUAAACCUUGAGAUGGAUGCUGGCAUCUCCAACAUCCAGCGAAGUCAGAGCUGGCUCAGCAACAUUGGCCCCACCCAUCAUGAGAUAGACACAGCUUCAUCCCAUGGACCACAAAUGCAAGAUGCCUUCUUGUCACCUUUAUCUAAUAAAGGUGAUGAAUGCAGUAUUGGUUCAGCCACAGACUUGACUGAAAGUAGCUCCAUGGUGGAUGGAGACUGGACAGUGGUGGAUGAAAAUUUCUCUACACUCAGUUUAACUCAGUCAGAGCUGGAGCACAUUUCCAUGGAGUUGGCCAGUAAAGGGCCUCAUAAAUCCCAGGUCCAGCUUCGGUAUUUGCUACACAUUUUCAUGGAGGCAGGGUGCCUAGACUGGUGCAUCGUUAUAGGCCUGAUUCUUAGAGAAUCCUCAGUAAUCAAUCAGAUUUUGGUUAUUACACAGUCUUCAGAGGUAGAUGGAGAGAUGUUACAGAACAUAAAGACAGGGCUCCAUGCAGUGGACCGAUGGGCCUCUACAGACUGUCCUGGAUAUAAGCCAUUUUUAAACAUCAUUAAGCCACAACUGCAGAAGCUCAGUGAGGUAACAGAAGAGCAGGUCCAGCCAGAUGCCUUCCAACCAAUAACUAUGGGUAAGACUCCGGAACAGACUAGCCCCCGGGCAGAGGAGAGCAGGGGCUCCUCCAGCCAUGGAAGCAUCCCCCAGGGUGAAGUUGGAAGCAGCAGUAUGGUCAGCCGGAAAGAGGAGGACACAGCCCAAGCAGAGGAGGAAGAACCUUUUCAGGAUGGGACUUACGACUGUUCUGUGUCCUAACAACAGUGAGGUUCCAUCACAAAGGGGCAGUAUUAAUUAGCAGCAGCGUGCAACUCAGUAUGUUGGACAUAGUUGGAUGAUUUAACAGGAGAACUCAGUUCAGAGACUCUUUGAUUUAGAAUGACAGCAUCAAGAGUUGGCAACAUCCUAGAUGCCUGACAGUAAAAUACUGGAGGAAACAGCCCAUGUCGAUGACAUGGAAAAUGUUCAAAAUAUAAUGAAGGAAUGGCAGAAAAUUAUGUAUACCUUAAGAUAUCUACCAAGCAAACAAAAUUUUACAUGUAAGUAUAGAGGAACCUAGGUGUCAUUUCUAAUAAGUGGGAUUAAAAGGUACUUUGACUUUUUCCCAUUUUCCUAAAUAUGCUUUCAGUCUCCAUGGAUUUGCCUAUUCUGGACAUUUCAUAUAAAUGGAAACAUACAGUAUGUGAACUUUUCUAUCUCACUUCUUGGCACCAAAGCAUGCUGUUAUUUUGGCUGUAGCCAUCCAAGUUGUACAUGAAGUAGUGUCUCAUCAUAGUUUAGAUUUUCAUUUACCUAAUGGUUAAUGUAAAUCUUCUCGUAGGAUUAUUAGCCAUUUGUCUAUUUUUGAAGAAAAAUGUCUGUUUAAUUAGGUCGUUUCAUUGUUGAUUUGCUGGAGUUCUUUAUAUAUUCUGGAUACUAUUUUAUGUACAUAUAAAUUGCAAAUAUUUCUUAUUCUGUGGGCUUUUCACUUUUUUAGGUUUCAAUAUUCAAGUUUUUUUUUUUUAAGUAAUGUUGAUUACAGCAUUUGAAGGGGAGAAUCUAAUUCCACACAAAAUGGAAGACUCUAAAAUGUACCCAUUAAAUACUGCUAAAAAAAAAAAGAAAAAGAGUGGUGAGAAUACAACAGAAGUCUGAUUUAGAUUGAGUGUUGUCACCAUGUGAUUACAAUCAAUCAAUCAAUCACACAGACUCUCAAUCAUUUCACUUUCUUGAUAAUGUCCUUUGAAACACUGUUUUUCAUUUUAAGUCCAACUUAUUUUUUCUUUGGUUGCUUGUGCCUAAUAAUGUGGGUUAUGAAUAUUUACAACUAAAAGUUUUAAGAAUUUUAUAGUUAUAUCUCCUACAUUUAGGUCUUUGAUCCAUUUUGAGUUAAUCUUCGUGUAUGAUAUGAGAGAGAGAUCUGACUUCAUUCUUCUAACGUGGCUAUUCAAUUGUCAGAGCACCAUUUAUGGAAAGGAUUUUUUUCCCAUUGUCAAAAAUCAACAACUAUAGAUGUAUGGGUUUAUUUAUAGACUCUUAAUUGUAUUCUAAUGAUCUAUAAUAUCUUCUUAUGCCAAUACCACAUUGCCUUGAUUUCUGUUGCUUUGUAGGAAAUUUUGAAAGUGAGAGUCCUAAGUUUGUUUUUUCUAGGCUGUUUUGGCUAUUCUAGGUCCCUUGUAUUUCCAUAUGAAUUUCAGGAUCAGCUUGUCAAUUUCUAUACUAAAAUAAAGGCAGUUGGGAUUUUCAUAAGCAUUGUAUUCAUGACAUAAAGCAAUCUGGAGAAUAUUGCCAUAUUAAGCCUUCCAGUCCAUGAACAUGAGAUGUCUUUCCAUUUAUUGGGUUUUUAGUGUCUUUUAACAGUGGCUUAUAAUUUUUGCUAAGUCUCAUACUUUUGUUAGUUUUAUUUCUAAGUAUUAUUGCUACUGUAAAAAAAUGGGAUUUUCUGUUUUUGGAUUGUGUAUAUAAAUACAAUUGCUUCUAUAUAUUGACAUUGCAUCAUGCAACAUCAAACUUUUUCUUUUUUGUGGAUUCCUUAGGAUUUUCUACAUUGAAGGUCAUGUUGUUUGCAACCAGAGAUAGUUUGAACUCUUCCUUUUCAAUCUAGAUGCCUUUUCUUUCUUUCUCCUGUCAAACUGUCCUGGCUACAGCCACCAGUACAAUGCUUAUUAGGUGGCAAUAGUGGAUAUCCUUGUCUUCUGAUCUUAGGGAGAUGCUUUCUCUCAUCACUAAUUAUGAUGCUAGCUGUGGGUUUUUUAUAGAUAACCUUUAUCUGGUUGAGGAUGUUUGUCUUUUACAAAAUCCAAAACCCUUCCAUGAUAAAAACACUCAACAAACAUACAUUGCAUCUACUGAAGUAGUCAUGUGGUUUUUGUCCUUUAUUCUAUUAAUAUGGUACAUUGCACUGAUUUUCAAAUGUUUUUAAGACAGUUUUGCUCUGUCACCCAUGCUGGAAGGAAGUGGCGCAGUCAUGGCUUGCUGCAGCCUCAACCUCCUGAGCUCCAGCCAUCCUCCUACCUCAGUUUCUAUAGUAAGUAGUUGGGCCCACAAGCACACACCACCAUGCCCUGCUAAUUUUUGUGUUUUUAGUAGAGUCAGGGUUUUGCCAUGUUGUCCAGGCCAGUCUCAAACUCCUGUGCUUAAGCAAUCCACCCACCUUGGCCUCCCAAAGUGCUGAGAUAAAGCAUGUGCCACUGCACCUGGCCAACUUUCUGUUAAACCAACCUUGCAUUCCUGGCAUAAAUUCCAUUCGGUCAUGCUGUAGAGCCAAGUUGGAGAAAAAAGAAAUCAUUACCAACAUGUUAUGUUUUUACAAAUCAAAUAUGGAAGUAGAAGUGUCAAAAAAUACACUGAUACACCCCAAAAAUCCCUACGUAUUUCAACUAAAAACAGACAUUAAGAGCCAUAACUGGGAUUGCUGGCAAGAUGGCUGAAUAGGAACAGCUCUGGUCUGCAGCUCCCAGCAAGAUCGACACAGAAGGCGGGUGAUUUCUGCAUUUCCAGCUGAGGUACCUGGUUCAUCUCACUGGGACUGGUUGGACAGUGGGUGCAGCCCUGUGAGGGUAAGCCAAAGCAGGGUGGUUCGUUGCCUCACCUGGGAAGCGCAAGGGGUCAGGGAACUCCUUCUCCCAGCCAAGGGAAGCCAUUAGGGACUGUAUCUUGCAAUCCAGCCCAGAUACUGUGCUUUUCCCACAGUCUUCGCAACCUGCAGACCAGGAGAUUCCCUCCAGUGCCCAUGCCACCAGGGCCCUGGGUUUCCACUACAAAACUGGAUGGCUGUUUUGGGUAGACACGAAGCUAGCCGCAGUUUUUUUUUUCAUACCCCAGUGGCACCUGGAACACCAGUCAGACAGAACCAUUCACUCCCCUGGAAAGGGGGCUGAAGCCAGGGAGCCAAGUGGUCUGGUUUGGCAGGUCCCACCCCCACAGAGCCCAGCAAGCUAAGAUCCACUGGCUUGAAAUUCUUGCUGCUGGCACAGCAGUCUGAGCUUGACCUGGGAUGCUCCAACAUGGGGGGAGGGGCGUCCACCAUUGCUAAGGCUUGAGUAGGCAGUUUUACCCUCACAGUGUAAACAAAGCCACUGGGAAGUUCAAAAUGGGUGGAGCCCACUGCAGCUCAGCAAGGCCACUGCAGCCAGACUGCCUCUCUAGAUUCCCUCCUCUCCGGGCAGGGCAACUCUGAAAAAAAGGCAGCAGCCCCAGUCAGGGACUAACAGAUAAAACCCCCACCUCCCUGGGACAGAGCACUUUGGACAAAGGGCAGUUGUGGGCGCAGCUUCAGCAGACUUAAACAUCCCUGCCUGGCAGCUGCGAAGAGAGCAGCGGAUCUCCCAGCACAGCAUUUGAGCUCUGAUAAAGGACAGAUUAACUCCUCAAGUGGGUCCUCCCAGUAGGUGCCAACAGACACCUCAUACAGGAGAGCUCUAGCUGGCACCUGGCGGGUACCCCUGUAGGAUGAAGCUUCCAAAGGAAGAAACAGGUACCAGUCUUUGCUGUUCUGCAGCCUUCACCAGUGAUACCCAGGCAAACAGGGUCUGGACUGGACCUCAAGUCAACUCCAGCCAACCUGCAGCAGAGGGCCUGAAUGUAAGAAGGAAAACCACCAAACAGAAAGGAAUAGUAUCAACAUCAACAAAAAGGACGUCCACUCAAGAGAUCCCAGCUGAAGGUCACCAACUUCAAAGGUAGAUAAAUCCACGAAGACGGGGAGAAAACACAAAAAGCCUGAAAAUUCCAAAAAGCAGAUCACCUCUUCUCCUCCAAAGGAUCACAACUCCUUGCCAGCAAGGGAGCAGAACUGGACAGAGAAUGAGUUUGACGAAUUGACAGAAGUAAGCUUCAGAAGGUGGGUAAUAACAAACUCCUCCAAGCUAAAGGAGUAUGUUCUAACCCAAUGGAAGGAAGCUAAGAACCUUGAAAAAAGGUUAGACAAAUUGCUAACUAGAAUAACCAGUUUACAGAAGAAUAUAAAUGACCUGAUAGAGCUGAAAACAACAGCGCGAGAACUUCAUGAAGCAUACACAGGUAUCAAUAGCCGAAUUGAUCGAGUGGAAGAAAGGAUAUCAGAGACUGAAGAUCAACUCAAUGAAAUAAA
This is an RNA transcript of Pongo pygmaeus (Bornean orangutan), 9117 nucleotides long. It is a transcript of the gene named RIC1 partner of RAB6A GEF complex, with no coding region annotated. The record is from RefSeq and is a predicted model, not a curated record. Lineage: Eukaryota; Metazoa; Chordata; Mammalia; Primates; Hominidae. The transcript has 27 exons.